AGUGAACGCUGGCGGUAUGCCUAACACAUGCAAGUCGAACGGCAGCACAGUAAGAGCUUGCUCUUACGGGUGGCGAGUGGCGGACGGGUGAGGAAUACAUCGGAAUCUACUUUUUCGUGGGGGAUAACGUAGGGAAACUUACGCUAAUACCGCAUACGACCUACGGGUGAAAGCAGGGGAUCUUCGGACCUUGCGCGAUUGAAUGAGCCGAUGUCGGAUUAGCUAGUUGGCGGGGUAAAGGCCCACCAAGGCGACGAUCCGUAGCUGGUCUGAGAGGAUGAUCAGCCACACUGGAACUGAGACACGGUCCAGACUCCUACGGGAGGCAGCAGUGGGGAAUAUUGGACAAAGGGCGCAAGCCUGAUCCAGCAAUACCGCGUGGGUGAAGAAGGCCUUCGGGUUGUAAAGCCCUUUUGUUGGGAAAGAAAAGCAGCAGGUUAAUACCCCGCUGUUCUGACGGUACCCAAAGAAUAAGCACCGGCUAACUUCGUG
Molecule: ribosomal RNA, 492 nt
Filed under: uncultured bacterium
Lineage: Bacteria
Description: partial 16S ribosomal RNA
Rfam family: Bacterial small subunit ribosomal RNA
Source: RNAcentral